GGGGUGCUCGAGUGGCGAACGGGUGAGUAACACGUGAGUAACCUGCCCUUGACUUUGGGAUAACUUCAGGAAACUGGGGCUAAUACCGGAUAGGAGCUCCUGCUGCAUGGUGGGGGUUGGAAAGUUUCGGCGGUUGGGGACGGACUCGCGGCUUAUCAGCUUGUUGGUGGGGUAGUGGCUUACCAAGGCUUUGACGGGUAGCCGGCCUGAGAGGGUGACCGGCCACAUUGGGACUGAGAUACGGCCCAG
This 249-nucleotide ribosomal RNA is filed under the name uncultured Actinomycetales bacterium. Its description in RNAcentral is "partial 16S ribosomal RNA". It matches the Rfam family "Bacterial small subunit ribosomal RNA", at positions 84 to 334 of the family's 1533-position model. The record is from RNAcentral. Lineage: Bacteria; Bacillati; Actinomycetota; Actinomycetes; Actinomycetales.